UUGAACAAUCCAUUGAAGCAUAGAGGUAUCAAUCUAAAAGUAAUCCGGCUUUCGAUUGCCAACUGUGAACAAAAGAAUUGUACUGU
Molecule: microRNA precursor, 86 nt
Filed under: Caenorhabditis remanei
Lineage: Eukaryota; Metazoa; Nematoda; Chromadorea; Rhabditida; Rhabditidae
Description: microRNA crm-mir-7610 precursor
Source: miRBase by way of RNAcentral